RNAcentral lists this ribosomal RNA (226 nucleotides) under uncultured bacterium. Its description in RNAcentral is "partial 16S ribosomal RNA". It matches the Rfam family "Bacterial small subunit ribosomal RNA", at positions 538 to 763 of the family's 1533-position model. The record is from RNAcentral.
GCGUUGCUCGGAAUGACUGGGCGUAAAGGGCGCGUAGGCGGAUUGAUCAGUCGGACGUGAAAUUCCUGGGCUUAACCUGGGGGCUGCGUUUGAGACGGUUGGUCUAGAGUUUGGAAGAGGGUCGUGGAAUUCCCAGUGUAGAGGUGAAAUUCGUAGAUAUUGGGAAGAACACCGGUGGCGAAGGCGGCGACCUGGUCCUGGACUGACGCUGAGGCGCGAAAGCGUG